GCGCCAAUAGCUCAUCCGGACAGAGCAACUGCCUUCUAAGCAGUAGGUGGGGGGUUCGAGUCCCUCUUGGCGUGCCA
Molecule: transfer RNA, 77 nt
Filed under: Oscillospiraceae bacterium
Lineage: Bacteria; Bacillati; Bacillota; Clostridia; Eubacteriales; Oscillospiraceae
Description: tRNA-Arg
Rfam family: tRNA
About the family: Transfer RNA (tRNA) molecules are approximately 80 nucleotides in length. Their secondary structure includes four short double-helical elements and three loops (D, anti-codon, and T loops).
Source: RNAcentral